GCGGAUGUGUCGUAAUUGGUAGCCGAGCAAGACUUAGGAUCUUGUGUCAUAACUGACGUGGGGGUUCGAGUCCCUUCAUCCGCACCA
This 87-nucleotide transfer RNA is filed under the name Bacteroidetes bacterium RBG_13_43_22. RNAcentral describes it as "tRNA-Leu". It matches the Rfam family "tRNA". Rfam says of the family: Transfer RNA (tRNA) molecules are approximately 80 nucleotides in length. Their secondary structure includes four short double-helical elements and three loops (D, anti-codon, and T loops). RNAcentral also lists the same sequence under 1 other name. The record is from RNAcentral. Lineage: Bacteria; Pseudomonadati; Bacteroidota.